UGAUGAAGGUCCCUUAGGGUUGUAAAGCUCUUUUGUGCGGGAAGAUAAUGACGGUACCGCAAGAAUAAGCCCCGGCUAACUUCGUGC
This 87-nucleotide ribosomal RNA is filed under the name uncultured bacterium. RNAcentral describes it as "partial 16S ribosomal RNA". The record is from RNAcentral.